CAGUUUUGGGUCACUGAGCUAGGUA
RNAcentral lists this non-coding RNA (25 nucleotides) under Rattus norvegicus (Norway rat). The record is from RNAcentral. Lineage: Eukaryota; Metazoa; Chordata; Mammalia; Rodentia; Muridae.